GAUGAACGCUGGCGGCGUGCCUAAUACAUGCAAGUCGAGCGAACAGAUGAGGAGCUUGCUCCUCUGACGUUAGCGGCGGACGGGUGAGUAACACGUGGAUAACCUACCUAUAAGACUGGGAUAACUUCGGGAAACCGGAGCUAAUACCGGAUAAUAUAUUGAACCGCAAGGUUCAAUAGUGAAAGACGGUUUUGCUGUCACUUAUAGAUGGAUCCGCGCCGCAUUAGCUAGUUGGUAAGGUAACGGCUUACCAAGGCAACGAUGCGUAGCCGACCUGAGAGGGUGAUCGGCCACACUGGAACUGAGACACGGUCCAGACUCCUACGGGAGGCAGCAGUAGGGAAUCUUCCGCAAUGGGCGAAAGCCUGACGGAGCAACGCCGCGUGAGUGAUGAAGGUCUUCGGAUCGUAAAACUCUGUUAUUAGGGAAGAACAAAUGUGUAAGUAACUAUGCACGUCUUGACGGUACCUAAUCAGAAAGCCACGGCUAACUACGUG
This 497-nucleotide ribosomal RNA is filed under the name uncultured bacterium. RNAcentral describes it as "partial 16S ribosomal RNA". It matches the Rfam family "Bacterial small subunit ribosomal RNA", at positions 28 to 507 of the family's 1533-position model. The record is from RNAcentral.